Molecule: microRNA precursor, 209 nt
Filed under: Oryza sativa Japonica Group (Japanese rice)
Lineage: Eukaryota; Viridiplantae; Streptophyta; Magnoliopsida; Poales; Poaceae
Description: MIR812 microRNA precursor family
Rfam family: MIR812 microRNA precursor family
Source: Rfam by way of RNAcentral
AAUAAGUACAGUUUUGCACUAUUCACGUUCAACGUUUGACCGUCCGUCUUAUUUGAAAAAUUUGUGAAAAAAUUAAAAACAUUUAGUCACACAUAAAGUACUAUUCAUGUUUUAUCAUCUAAUAGCAAUAAAAAUACUAAUCAUAAAAAAUUUUCAAAUAAGACGGACGGUCAAACGUUGAACGUGAAUAGUAUAAAACUGCACUUAUU